Molecule: transfer RNA, 77 nt
Filed under: Pseudomonadota bacterium
Lineage: Bacteria; Pseudomonadati; Pseudomonadota
Also listed under: 4 other names
Description: tRNA-Val
Rfam family: tRNA
About the family: Transfer RNA (tRNA) molecules are approximately 80 nucleotides in length.
Source: RNAcentral
GGGCGAUUAGCUCAGACGGUUAGAGCGCUGCGUUGACAUCGCAGAGGUCAGUGGUUCGAGUCCACUAUCGCCCACCA